CCGAUUCAUAUGGACUUCGGUUACACCAUCAAAGAUUUGAGAAGCAAGAAGAAGCUUGGUUAG
This 63-nucleotide small RNA is filed under the name Arabidopsis thaliana (thale cress). Its description in RNAcentral is "ATSL268130". The record is from RNAcentral. Lineage: Eukaryota; Viridiplantae; Streptophyta; Magnoliopsida; Brassicales; Brassicaceae.